AUUGAACGCUGGCGGAAUGCUUUACACAUGCAAGUCGAACGGCAGCACGGGGCAACCUGGUGGCGAGUGGCGAACGGGUGAGUAAUACAUCGGAACGUGCCCAAUCGUGGGGGAUAACGUAGCGAAAGUUACGCUAAUACCGCAUACGAUCUACGGAUGAAAGCGGGGGAUCGCAAGACCUCGCGCGAGUGGAGCGACCGAUGUCAGAUUAGGUAGUUGGUGGGGUAAAGGCUCACCAAGCCAACGAUCUGUAGCUGGUCUGAGAGGACGACCAGCCACACUGGAACUGAGACACGGUCCAGACUCCUACGGGAGGCAGCAGUGGGGAAUUUUGGACAAUGGGCGCAAGCCUGAUCCAGCCAUUCCGCGUGCAGGAUGAAGGCCUUCGGGUUGGUAAACUAGCUUUUGUACGGUAACGAAACGGACGAGCUCUAAUACAG
RNAcentral lists this ribosomal RNA (440 nucleotides) under uncultured bacterium. RNAcentral's name for it is "bacterial SSU rRNA". It matches the Rfam family "Bacterial small subunit ribosomal RNA", at positions 30 to 469 of the family's 1533-position model. The record is from RNAcentral.